RNAcentral lists this ribosomal RNA (253 nucleotides) under uncultured bacterium. RNAcentral's name for it is "partial 16S ribosomal RNA". It matches the Rfam family "Bacterial small subunit ribosomal RNA", at positions 524 to 776 of the family's 1533-position model. The record is from RNAcentral.
UACGAAGGGGGCUAGCGUUGUUCGGAGUUACUGGGCGUAAAGGGCGCGUAGGUGGUGGCUUAAGCGUGCGGUGAAAGCCCAGAGCUCAACUCCGGGUCGGCCGUCGAUACUUCCGGGCUUGAGCACUGUAGAGGCAGAUGGAAUUCCGGGUGUAGCGGUGGAAUGCGUAGAGAUCCGGAAGAACACCGGUGGCGAAGGCGGUCUGCUGGGCAGUUGCUGACGCUGAUGCGCGACAGCGUGGGGAGCAAACAGG